GUGCUGUUAUUCAUAUUUCGCGUUAGAUGAAACUGAAAUAAAAAUCUGUUUUAACAUAAUGUGGGGUUUAAAAACAUGCAACAGAUAGUUUGAAAAACAAUUAUUCAAAGGUGAUUUUUUUUAAAUUUAUAUUUUACAAAUGAAAACACAACUUUAUAAGUUCAUGCGUAUGAAGCGGCCUUUCUGGAUUUACCUUCAUCAGUAACGCUCAAAGCCGAGAAUUGAUGAGCGAAUUGAGAAACGGACAAUUAAUGAAAAGUUUGUUAAAAAUCAUGUCAGUAUCGAAUUACUGACUCCGUAGUAUAUUGGACAUUUCAAAAC
Molecule: long non-coding RNA, 321 nt
Filed under: Mytilus galloprovincialis (Mediterranean mussel)
Lineage: Eukaryota; Metazoa; Mollusca; Bivalvia; Mytilida; Mytilidae
Source: RNAcentral